UACGAAGGUCCCGAGCGUUAUCCGGAUUUAUUGGGUUUAAAGGGUGCGUAGGCGGGUUAUUAAGUCAGUGGUGAAAGCCUACAGCUUAACUGUAGAAUUGCCAUUGAUACUGAUGAUCUUGAGUAUGAUUGAGGUGGGCGGAAUGUGUCAUGUAGCGGUGAAAUGCUUAGAUAUGACACAGAACGCCGAUUGCGAAGGCAGCUCACUAAGUCAUAACUGACGCUGAUGCACGAAAGCGUGGGGAGCAAACAGG
This 253-nucleotide ribosomal RNA is filed under the name uncultured bacterium. Its description in RNAcentral is "partial 16S ribosomal RNA". It matches the Rfam family "Bacterial small subunit ribosomal RNA", at positions 524 to 776 of the family's 1533-position model. The record is from RNAcentral.